GCAAUGUCGAGCGGACAGAUGAUGGGAGCUUGCUCCCUGAUGUUAGCGGCGGACGGGUGAGUAACACGUGGGUAACCUGCCUGUAAGACUGGGAUAACUCCGGGAAACCGGGGCUAAUACCGGAUGGUUGUUUGAACCGCAUGGUUCAAACAUAAAAGGUGGCUUCGGCUACCACUUACAGAUGGACCCGCGGCGCAUUAGCUAGUUGGUGAGGUAACGGCUCACCAAGGCAACGAUGCGUAGCCGACCUGAGAGGGUGAUCGGCCACACUGGGACUGAGACACGGCCCAGACUCCUACGGGAGGCAGCAGUAGGGAAUCUUCCGCAAUGGACGAAAGUCUGACGGAGCAACGCCGCGUGAGUGAUGAAGGUUUUCGGAUCGUAAAGCUCUGUUGUUAGGGAAGAACAAGUACCGUUCGAAUAGGGCGGUACCUUGACGGUACCUAACCAGAAAGCCACGGCUAACUACGUGCCAGCAGCCGCGGUAAUACGUAGGUGGCAAGCGUUGUCCGGAAUUAUUGGGCGUAAAGGGCUCGCAGGCGGUUUCUUAAGUCUGAUGUGAAAGCCCCCGGCUCAACCGGGGAGGGUCAUUGGAAACUGGGGAACUUGAGUGCAGAAGAGGAGAGUGGAAUUCCACGUGUAGCGGUGAAAUGCGUAGAG
This 660-nucleotide ribosomal RNA is filed under the name Bacillus tequilensis. RNAcentral describes it as "bacterial SSU rRNA". It matches the Rfam family "Bacterial small subunit ribosomal RNA", at positions 57 to 695 of the family's 1533-position model. The record is from RNAcentral. Lineage: Bacteria; Bacillati; Bacillota; Bacilli; Caryophanales; Bacillaceae.